UGGGGAAUUUUGGACGAUGGGCGAAAGCCUGAUCCAGCAAUGCCGCGUGUGUGAAGAAGGCCUUCGGGUUGUAAAGCACUUUUGUCCGGAAAGAAAUCCUUGGCUCUAAUACAGUCGGGGGGAUGACGGUACCGGAAGAAUAAGCACCGGCUAACUACGUGCCAGCAGCCGCGGUAAUACGUAGGGUGCAAGCGUUAAUCGGAAUUACUGGGCGUAAAGCGUGCGCAGGCGGUUUGCUAAGACCGAUGUGAAAUCCCCGGGCUCAACCUGGGAACUGCAUUGGUGACUGGCAGGCUAGAGUAUGGCAGAGGGGGGUAGAAUUCCACGUGUAGCAGUGAAAUGCGUAGAGAUGUGGAGGAAUACCGAUGGCGAAGGCAGCCCCCUGGGCCAAUACUGACGCUCAUGCACGAAAGCGUGGGGAGCAAACAGGAUUAGAUACCCUGGUAGUCCACGCCCUAAACGAUGUCAACUAGUUGUUGGGGAUUCAUUCCUUAGUAACGUAGCUAACGCGCGAAGUUGACCGCCUGGGGAGUACGGUCG
Molecule: ribosomal RNA, 540 nt
Filed under: uncultured bacterium
Lineage: Bacteria
Description: partial 16S ribosomal RNA
Rfam family: Bacterial small subunit ribosomal RNA
Source: RNAcentral